CAUUUGGUGUAUGUGCUUGGCUGAGGAGCCAAUGGUGCGACGCUACCAUCUGUGGGAUUAUGACUGAACGCCUCUAAGUCAGAAUCCCCCCUAAACGUAACGAUACCCUAGCGCCGUGGCUCCGUGGUUGGCCUGGGAUAGCCGGCCCCCGGUGGGGGGUCGGUGCGGAGUGCCAUUCGUGACUGGCUCGGAGGGCGGACGGAAGGGCUUCUGCCUCUCUCGCCUCUGACGCACCGCAUGAUCGUGUCGAACCCGGUGCUAAAUGACAUGCAGACGACCUGAUUCUGGGUCAGGGUUUCGUACGUGGCAGAGCAGCUACCCUCGUUGCGAUCUAUUGAGAGUCAUCCCUCGAUCCAACCUUUUGUC
This 366-nucleotide ribosomal RNA is filed under the name Acipenser fulvescens (lake sturgeon). RNAcentral's name for it is "eukaryotic LSU rRNA". It matches the Rfam family "Eukaryotic large subunit ribosomal RNA", at positions 3057 to 3401 of the family's 3401-position model. Lineage: Eukaryota; Metazoa; Chordata; Actinopteri; Acipenseriformes; Acipenseridae. The record is from RNAcentral.